Molecule: ribosomal RNA, 168 nt
Filed under: uncultured Alphaproteobacteria bacterium
Lineage: Bacteria; Pseudomonadati; Pseudomonadota; Alphaproteobacteria
Description: partial 16S ribosomal RNA
Rfam family: Bacterial small subunit ribosomal RNA
Source: RNAcentral
UACGGGAGGCAGCAGUGGGGAAUAUUGGACAAUGGGCGAAAGCCUGAUCCAGCAAUGCCGCGUGAGUGAUGAAGGCCUUAGGUUGUAAAGCUCUUUUACCAGGGAUGAUAAUGACAGUACCUGGAGAAUAAGCUCCGGCUAACUCCGUGCCAGCAGCCGCGGUAAUAA